GCCCCGUUAGCUCAGUUGGUAGAGCAACUGCCUUUUAAGCAGAUGGUCGUAGGUUCGAUCCCUGCACGGGGCA
RNAcentral lists this transfer RNA (73 nucleotides) under Patescibacteria group bacterium. RNAcentral's name for it is "tRNA-Lys". It matches the Rfam family "tRNA". From Rfam's summary of the family: Transfer RNA (tRNA) molecules are approximately 80 nucleotides in length. Their secondary structure includes four short double-helical elements and three loops (D, anti-codon, and T loops). The record is from RNAcentral.